GACGAACGCUGGCGGCGUGCUUAACACAUGCAAGUCGAACGGGAUCCGGGCUUUCGGGUUUGGUGAGAGUGGCGAACGGGUGAGUAACACGUGAGUAACCUGCCCCCUUCUUUGGGAUAACGUCGGGAAAUCGGCGCUAAUACUGGAUAUUCUUGCUGCAUCGCAUGGUGUGGUUUGGAAAGGGUUUCUGGUGGGGGAUGGGCUCGCGGCCUAUCAGCUUGUUGGUGGGGUGAUGGCCUACCAAGGCUUUGACGGGUAGCCGGCCUGAGAGGGUGUCCGGCGCACUUGGACAGGAUCCAGGGUCCCAAACACGCCGGCGGCAACGCGUGGGGAAGAUUGAGCACGGGCCGCAAGCCUGAAGCAGUGGUCCCGCGUGAGGAAUUCGGCAUUUUGGUUGGUAAACUCCUUUCAGUAAGGAACAAGGAUCUUUUUUUUGGGGGGUUUGGGGGUACGGACACAAAAAGCCCGGGCAAAAACCUG
This 480-nucleotide ribosomal RNA is filed under the name uncultured bacterium. RNAcentral describes it as "partial 16S ribosomal RNA". It matches the Rfam family "Bacterial small subunit ribosomal RNA", at positions 28 to 506 of the family's 1533-position model. The record is from RNAcentral.